AGAGUUUGAUCCUGGCUCAGGACGAACGCUGGCGGCGUGCUUAACACAUGCAAGUCGAACGGAAAGGCCCUUCGGGGUACUCGAGUGGCGAACGGGUGAGUAACACGUGGGUGAUCUGCCCUGCACUCUGGGAUAAGCCUGGGAAACUGGGUCUAAUACCGGAUAGGACCGCAUGCUUCAUGGUGUGUGGUGCAAAGCUUUUGCGGUGUGGGAUGAGCCCGCGGCCUAUCAGCUUGUUGGUGGGGUAAUGGCCUACCAAGGCGACGACGGGUAGCCGGCCUGAGAGGGUGACCGGCCACACUGGGACUGAGAUACGGCCCAGACUCCUACGGGAGGCAGCAGUGGGGAAUAUUGCACAAUGGGCGCAAGCCUGAUGCAGCGACGCCGCGUGAGGGAUGACGGCCUUCGGGUUGUAAACCUCUUUCAGUAGGGACGAAGCGAAAGUGACGGUACCUACAGAAGAAGGACCGGCCGACUACGUGCCAGCAGCCGCGGUAAUACGUAGGGUCCGAGCGUUGUCCGGAAUUACUGGGCGUAAAGAGCUCGUAGGUGGUUUGUCGCGUUGUUCGUGAAAACUCACAGCUUAACUGUGGGCGUGCGGGCGAUACGGGCAGACUAGAGUACUGCAGGGGAGACUGGAAUUCCUGGUGUAGCGGUGGAAUGCGCAGAUAUCAGGAGGAACACCGGUGGCGAAGGCGGGUCUCUGGGCAGUAACUGACGCUGAGGAGCGAAAGCGUGGGUAGCGAACAGGAUUAGAUACCCUGGUAGUCCAA
This 773-nucleotide ribosomal RNA is filed under the name uncultured bacterium. RNAcentral describes it as "bacterial SSU rRNA". It matches the Rfam family "Bacterial small subunit ribosomal RNA", at positions 8 to 798 of the family's 1533-position model. The record is from RNAcentral.